This 858-nucleotide ribosomal RNA is filed under the name Leptodactylus bufonius (Vizcacheras' white-lipped frog). RNAcentral describes it as "partial large subunit ribosomal RNA". It matches the Rfam family "Bacterial large subunit ribosomal RNA", at positions 1510 to 2624 of the family's 2925-position model. The record is from RNAcentral. Lineage: Eukaryota; Metazoa; Chordata; Amphibia; Anura; Leptodactylidae.
CACCUCAAUAUCAAGCAAUUCUAUACUAAUAUAGAAAUUUUUAUGUUAAAACUAGUAACAAGAAGACUCCCUUCUCUUUAAUGCCAGCGUAAAUCAGUUAGGAAAAACCACUGAUAAUUAACAUUCCUGAGCUAAUAGUAGAAACACCUCAAGAAAACCCUACUGCUACCCAUGUUAACCUAACACAAGAGCAUUACAAGAAAGAUUAAAAGAAAAAGAAGGAACUCGGCAAAUAUUAACCCCGCCUGUUUACCAAAAACAUCGCCUCUUGAAACCUAUAAGAGGUCCAGCCUGCCCAGUGACUUUGUUCAACGGCCGCGGUAUCCUAACCGUGCRAAGGUAGCGUAAUCACUUGUUCUUUAAAUGAGGACUAGUAUGAAUGGCACCACGAAGGUUAUACUGUCUCCUUUUUCUAAUCAGUGAAACUAAUCUUCCCGUGAAGAAGCGGGAAUAAACAUAUAAGACGAGAAGACCCUAUGGAGCUUUAAACAAACAUACAAUUGCCUUCAACAAAAAAAAUUCCAGAAGAAAAACCUUUAUUUAGGCAUCCUGUCAUGACGUUUUAGGUUGGGGUGACCACGGAGUAAAAUUUAACCUCCGCAAUGAACGGGGCUUUCCCCCUAAGAUAAGAGCUACGACUCUAAUAAUCAACAAAUUGACACCAAUUGACCCAAUACACUUGAUCAAUGAACCAAGUUACCCUAGGGAUAACAGCGCAAUCCACUUCAAGAGCCCCUAUCGACAAGUGGGUUUACGACCUCGAUGUUGGAUCAGGGUAUCCUAGUGGUGCAGCCGCUACUGAUGGUUCGUUUGUUCAACGAUUAAAACCCUACGUGAUCUGAGUUCAUACCGGCUAUA